CCCGGGACCCCAGCUCUAAGCCAGCGCUCAUCUACUUUCCGUCUCUUUGGACUGUCACAUAAACGGAAUCGUGCCGUGCUCCGUGCCCGGCCUCUCUCACUCAGCAAAACCUUUCCAAGGGUCAGCCACACGUGGGGGCACGCUUCAGCGCUUCCUUCUUUUUUAUGGCCAAAUAAUAUUCCUUUGCACGGACACACCACGCUUUAUCCGUCCGUCAGUUAAUGGACGUGUGGGUCGUUUCCACUUCUUGGUGUGGCAGAUGGCCAUUCCCUUUGCAGCCUUUUCCAAGCGCUAGGUCUGUGCCUCUCGCACUAGCUGCGCAAGUGCUACCAACCCCCCUGCCACACCCGCUCUGCACCAGGCCCCACGCCGAAUGUGGUGACGGACGGAACUCUCCCCACACCCUGACGCGGGGAUCACGGUCCCACUCUGUGGAUAAGGAAGCCCCAGUCCAGGGAAGCAAAGAGACUGGCCAAGGUCACGGGGAAAUGGGACUUACACCCAGGCCUGCCCUGCUGCCGCUAACCCCUCCUGCUGCGUUUAUGGCAUUUUUGAAAUUCAGCCCCUUUUCCAUUGGGUUUUUCAUAUUUUGGGGUCUCCUGCAGAUCAUAAGCUUCUUCAGGGGAAGAUGCUGUGUCUCAUGGUUUUUCAGUCUUCGACACAUCACGCUGUCCCUGCCACUCACACUUACGGGGCUCCUGUGGGCUUGCAGCCGGGAGGGAAGGGGUACGGGGAUGGGGUGGACCGUGCCCUCUGCCCAUCCCGCAUCCCUUCCCCUGCCUCCUGGCUGCAGGACGACCAUGUGGCUCAGACAUGGCCAAUCAAAGUUCUCAAUCCUGCUGGCCACAGGGAUUGGCCCAAGUUUGGGCACAGGAUCCAAGCCUGGCCAAUCAGAGCCUUCCUCAGGUACUUUCCAUGGCAACGGCGGCCGAGGACACCUGCUUGCUCUUUGGGACUGGGAGCGGUAAGGGCCGCAAGCUGGGAGCUGCUGUUGGCAGCCCCCUUCCGCCUCCGGGAGAGAACCAUGCAGAUGCUGUCAGUGGUAUUGCAGGAAAACGUUCAAUGCCGUGGAAAGAUGUUUACGAUAACUUCAUGAGCCUGUAGCACAAAGCUGCAAAUGAGGACCUACUAUCUCACUGGCUAUAUAUGUGUCCAUAGAUAUGAAAAUAUAUACAUAUAAUCAUGUACAAAUAAAAGGUAUGUGCCAAAAUAUUAACAGGGAUCCCCUCGAAUUAUGUGAGUACCAGUUACAUUUUUUCCUUUUGGUGUGUCUGAACUUUCUGAAAUCAGAGGGCAGUCUGCGCUUUUCAGAAGAGUUUGUCGCUGUCCUGUUUAUUUUGAGCCAGAGCCCCCGCACCCCCCUCGAGAAGUCAUUUCUACCACCUGCCUCUUGGGGAGCAUUCAGGCUCAGCCCGAGAUCCCUCCUCUGCCCUUUUAGACACACACUUUCCCCACAACUCCGUUUCCAGCCGGGGUCCCGGGCCUUUCCCACCCCAGGCUGCUCUGUUCACCUGCCCUGUCUCAGCCGCCAGGACCUGCAGUCUCGGCGUGGCCGGAAUGCCACCACCCCUGAGCGUCUUCCGGACUCUUGGAGAAAGCCAGGCCUCACUCCCACUCUGCCCGACUCAUCCUGCUGGGUACUGGAUUUUCAUUGUCAGCUCACAAGGAACCUCCAAAAAAUCUUUUCUUUGGCAGCCAAGGCCCACGUAGCUGCAUCCCACCGUCCUUCCUCCACCUCGUGACAUGGUGAGGACUGGAAGCGGCAUGCCACAACCAGCAGGCGGCAAGAAUAUUCCAGAUGUUUCCCCUCACCCACCCAGGGGACUUCCCGGCUCCUGAGAAGUCACAGGCCUCCGCUGUGGUGGCCGGGCGUCCCUCGAGUCCAACAGAGGGAUCGGGAAGGGGAAAUGCAGGGUGUUGCGGGGCUGCCCCACAGUGAUCCCUUUAGGCCUGAAGACAUCCGAGGGGUGCGUUUGCACGGAUGGACGGACGGGGAGAAGGUGCAUCUCGCGGAGCGUGAGCAUUCCGACGGGAAUGUUGGGAAGCCGGUUUUGGCCCGAGAGGAGAGGAAAGUCUCACGCUAAGAUAAACCCUGGCAGAGCGAAGUCGGCGUGCUUCUCCUCCGCCCACCAGAAGGGAAGGUGUGCCUUCGUUACGAACGGGAAGAUUUCCUCCCCGUAUCCGCGCAUGGACGGCCCGUCCGGGAUCUGCUUCCGACAUCCGCGGGCCGGCUGGUGUGGAUGAAACGAGAUUGGACGAGUUGAUGGUUUUCGACACUGGGCACCGGUACAUGGCAGUUAGGAACCCGGCCAGACGGGAGGAGCAACCCCACCACAGCCGCCCCCACGGCACGGAGUCCCUGAGCGUGACAAGGACGAGCCCGGAGCCUCCCACCGACCACUCCGCCCCCCACCCCGCUCCCUGUUGACGUCGGGGCCAUCGGAGAACCCUCGGCUCUGAGUAAUAAACGCGCCGCUCGGCGGGAACAUGUGUUUCCAAUCAUCCUGCUCAGCGGUGAGUCACCACCAAGAGCUGCUGCCCCGUCCCGCCACUCACCUUCAGCCCCGCCACGCUGACAGCCCGGGCGGCCCUGCCCCCUCCUGGCCCCGCACUCAGCCAGCCGGCCCCCCCAGGAGCCUAAGGUGUCCUCCCACCUGUGGGCCUUCGAGCACUCGCCCUUCCAUCCGGAACGGAGCCCGCCCCUUUGUCCGGGUCACUCCGACCCAAGCUCCGGGUCCCACUGGAGGUGUCAUUUAUCCCAGGCAGCCUCUGGACCCCCCGCCCUGCCUCACAGACAGGCAGUCAAGGGCCCAGCCGUGCCCACCCGUUGCCCUUGGUACCAGCCACCUCACCCGCGUGCCCUGCCAUUGCCCCUUUGUCUGUUUUUCCUGCCGGAGGGUGGUUUGUGCCGUAGGGGGAAGCGGCCACCUUUUCCGUCUGUAUCCCCAGCUCCUGCCCAGCUCUGACCCAUGGCUGGCGCCCAAUAAAUACCUGUUGAAUGAAUGAAUGAAAGGAAUGAACGAAGGGACAAUCUGUGACCUUAAGAAGCGCACAGUCAAGGGGGUGGACAGACAUGAGAACAAGGGC
This is a non-coding RNA of Microcebus murinus (gray mouse lemur), 3087 nucleotides long. NCBI's taxonomy places the organism in Eukaryota, Metazoa, Chordata, Mammalia, Primates, Cheirogaleidae. The record is from RefSeq and is a predicted model, not a curated record.